GGGGCUGUAGCUCAGUAGUAGAGCGCUUGCCUUGCAUACAUGAGGCCUGGGUUCAAUCCUCAGCACCA
RNAcentral lists this transfer RNA (68 nucleotides) under Ictidomys tridecemlineatus (thirteen-lined ground squirrel). RNAcentral's name for it is "Spermophilus tridecemlineatus (thirteen-lined ground squirrel) tRNA". It matches the Rfam family "tRNA". Rfam says of the family: Transfer RNA (tRNA) molecules are approximately 80 nucleotides in length. Lineage: Eukaryota; Metazoa; Chordata; Mammalia; Rodentia; Sciuridae. The record is from Rfam by way of RNAcentral.